CUUAUCAACUGUCGAUGGUAGGUUAUGCGCCUACCAUGGUUGCAACGGGUAACGGGGAAUCGGGGUUCGAUUCCGGAGAGGGAGCCUGAGAAACGGCUACCACAUCCAAGGAAGGCAGCAGGCGCGCAAAUUACCCACUCCCGGCACGGGGAGGUAGUGACGAAAAAUAACGAUGCAGGACUCAUCCGAGGCCCUGUGAUUGGAAUGAGUACACUUUAAAUCCUUUAACGAGGACCUAUUGGAGGGCAAGUCUGGUGCCAGCAGCCGCGGUAACUCCAGCUCCAAUAGCGUAUAUUAAAGUUGCUGCGGUUAAAAAGCUCGUAGUUGGAUAUCGGUCGCGAUCAGGUGGUGCCGCCUCGCGGUGUGCACUGCCUCGAUUGGACAAUCCACCGGACUGUCCGGGGUGCUCUUAACCGAGUGUCCUGGGUGGCCGGUACGUUUACUUUGAACAAAUUAGAGUGCUUAAAGCAGGUGCUCCGCGCCUGAAUAUCACAGCAUGGAAUGAUGGAAUAGGACCUCGGUCUUAUUUUGUUGGUUUUCUGGACUUGAGGUAAUGGUUAAUAGAGACAGACGGGGGCAUUCGUACUGCGACGCUAGAGGUGAAAUUCUUGGACCGUCGCAAGACGAACAACUGCGAAAGCAUUUGCCAAGAAUGUUUUCAUUAAUCAAGAACGAAAGUUAGAGGUUCGAAGGCGAUCAGAUACCGCCCUAGUUCUAACCAUAAACGAUGCCAACCAGCGAUCCGCAGACGUUACUUCAAUGACUCUGCGGGCAGCUUCCGGGAAACCAAAGUUUUUGGGUUCCGGGGGAAGUAUGGUUGCAAAGCUGAAACUUAAAGGAAUUGACGGAAGGGCACCACCAGGAGUGGAGCCUGCGGCUUAAUUUGACUCAACACGGGAAACCUCACCAGGCCCGGACACUGGAAGGAUUGACAGAUUGAGAGCUCUUUCUUGAUUCGGUGGGUGGUGGUGCAUGGCCGUUCUUAGUUGGUGGAGCGAUUUGUCUGGUUAAUUCCGAUAACGAACGAGACUCUAGCCUGCUAAAUAGAUGACGUAUCUUCGGGUACGUUACUCUUCUUAGAGGGACAAGUGGCGUCUAGCCAUAUGAAAGUGAGCAAUAACAGGUCUGUGAUGCCCUUAGAUGUCCUGGGCCGCACGCGCGCUACACUGAAAGAAUCAGCGCGUCUUCCCUGUCCGAGAGGACCGGGUAACCGCUGAACCUCUUUCGUGGUAGGGAUUGGGGACUGCAAGGAUCCCCAUGAACCAGGAAUCCCUAGUAGGUGCAAGUCAUUAGCUUGCGUCGAUUACGUCCCUGCCCU
Molecule: ribosomal RNA, 1318 nt
Filed under: Branchinecta ferox
Lineage: Eukaryota; Metazoa; Arthropoda; Branchiopoda; Anostraca; Branchinectidae
Description: SSU rRNA
Rfam family: Eukaryotic small subunit ribosomal RNA
Source: RNAcentral